GAAACAAAAGGCAGCAUUGAUUGUGCCGCAGGAUUGGAGGGACCAAAGGCGCUAAUUACCCAUCAGGGCAAGCAUGUGCAGGUCUCCCCUCCUUCAAACGGCGCUAUUUAACUGCUUAUAAACCAAAACAUUUUUUUUACUUCACUUUUUCAGAUUUUCUAAAAAAAACUGAAGGAGCCUCAAUUUUUUUUCUCUCAACACCCUCCCCUAUAUUCGGCCUAGGGUUUCUCUAAGCCACCGUCGCGCCGCCGCCAAGAUCGGUGGUCGGCGUUGCGCAAAGCCGACGUCUUUGGCCCCGUUUCCAACAUUUUAAAGGUCGAAUCCCUUUAUCCCGAAAAAUGGAAAGAAAAGGGUUUCGUUUUUUCCUUUUUAAGUUCAGUCCCGGCUACGGAGAAUCGACCCCCCCGACGACUGCGAAACUGCGAGGCAACUCAGGUGUUCUGACACGCGUGGAGGGGCGAUGGUAGGUGGAUCUCAAGCAGUGGCGACGUGCGCAGAGGCUGGCAGAGGCGUGUGUUGGUGGUGGCGCGCAUGGGAGGAGCGGCAGAGGCUAGGGUUCCCCUUGGCUGAUAAUUUUUAGUUUUAGUUGGGCUAAGGCUUAUUUUUAAUUUGGGUUAGGAAUUUGGGCUUAUUUUUUUGUAAUUAGACUGUUUUGAAUGUGUUGGGCCCGGGCAGAUUUUGGUCUUUACAAUUAUUAUUAUUUUUUUAAUAUUUGCUGUUAUACUUUUGGAGUAAAGAAUUAGACUUUUAAA
Molecule: long non-coding RNA, 752 nt
Organism: Gossypium raimondii (Peruvian cotton)
Lineage: Eukaryota; Viridiplantae; Streptophyta; Magnoliopsida; Malvales; Malvaceae
Exons: 2
Source: RefSeq, a predicted model, not a curated record